This 499-nucleotide ribosomal RNA is filed under the name uncultured bacterium. Its description in RNAcentral is "partial 16S ribosomal RNA". It matches the Rfam family "Bacterial small subunit ribosomal RNA", at positions 30 to 523 of the family's 1533-position model. The record is from RNAcentral.
AUUGAACGCUGGCGGCAUGCCUUACACAUGCAAGUCGAACGGUAACAGGUCUUCGGAUGCUGACGAGUGGCGAACGGGUGAGUAAUACAUCGGAACGUGCCUAGUAGUGGGGGAUAACUACUCGAAAGAGUGGCUAAUACCGCAUGAGAUCUACGGAUGAAAGCAGGGGAUCGCAAGACCUUGUGCUACUAGAGCGGCCGAUGGCAGAUUAGGUAGUUGGUGGGAUAAAAGCUUACCAAGCCGACGAUCUGUAGCUGGUCUGAGAGGACGAUCAGCCACACUGGGACUGAGACACGGCCCAGACUCCUACGGGAGGCAGCAGUGGGGAAUUUUGGACAAUGGGCGAAAGCCUGAUCCAGCAAUGCCGCGUGCAGGAUGAAGGCCUUCGGGUUGUAAACUGCUUUUGUACGGAACGAAAAGCCCCGGGUUAAUACCCUGGGGUCAUGACGGUACCGUAAGAAUAAGCACCGGCUAACUACGUGCCAGCCGCCGCCAGUAA